AUAGUAGGAAACCAUGUGUUCAUGCCGCAAGGCCGAAAGUGCCGGCGAGACGGGAAGUUGCUCGCCGGACGAAAAACCGGAAGGGUUUGCAGUGUGGUUUCCGCAUUCCGCUGC
This 114-nucleotide non-coding RNA is filed under the name pig gut metagenome. Its description in RNAcentral is "THF riboswitch". It matches the Rfam family "THF (Tetrahydrofolate) riboswitch aptamer", at positions 6 to 94 of the family's 99-position model. Rfam says of the family: THF riboswitch presents a pseudoknot that joins P1-P2 and the loop of P3 and two THF binding. The record is from RNAcentral.